UACGAACCGUCCAAACGUUACUCGGAAUCACUGGGCUUAAAGGGUGCGUAGGCCGCUCGGAGGGUGGGAUGUGAAAUCCCCCAGCUCAACUGGGGAAUUGCGUCCCAAACCGCCGGGCUUGAGGGAGACAGAGGUCAGCGGAACUGAUGGUGGAGCGGUGAAAUGCGUUGAUAUCAUCAGGAACACCAGUGGCGAAAGCGGCUGACUGGGUCUUUCCUAACGCUGAGGCACGAAAGCUAGGGGAGCGAACGGG
RNAcentral lists this ribosomal RNA (253 nucleotides) under uncultured bacterium. RNAcentral's name for it is "partial 16S ribosomal RNA". It matches the Rfam family "Bacterial small subunit ribosomal RNA", at positions 524 to 776 of the family's 1533-position model. The record is from RNAcentral.